UACGUAGGGGUCGAGCGUUGUCCGGAAUGAUUGGGCGUAAAGGGCGCGUAGGCGGCCUGUCAAGUCAGUAGUGGAAGUCCAUCUUUCAAGGAUGGAAGUGCUACAGAAACUGAUGGGCUUGAGUGCAGGAGAGGUUAUCGGAAUUCCCGGUGUAGCGGUGAAAUGCGUAGAGAUCGGGAGGAACACCGGUGGCGAAGGCGGCUUUCUGGCCAGUUACUGACGCUCAUGCGCGAAAGCUGGGGUAGCGAACCGGAUUAGAUACCCCGGUAGU
This 271-nucleotide ribosomal RNA is filed under the name uncultured prokaryote. RNAcentral's name for it is "partial 16S ribosomal RNA". It matches the Rfam family "Bacterial small subunit ribosomal RNA", at positions 524 to 794 of the family's 1533-position model. The record is from RNAcentral.